This 489-nucleotide ribosomal RNA is filed under the name uncultured bacterium. RNAcentral's name for it is "partial 16S ribosomal RNA". It matches the Rfam family "Bacterial small subunit ribosomal RNA", at positions 30 to 507 of the family's 1533-position model. The record is from RNAcentral.
AUUGAACGCUGGCGGCAGGCCUAACACAUGCAAGUCGAACGGUAACAGGAAGAAGCUUGCUUCUUUGCUGACGAGUGGCGGACGGGUGAGUAAUGUCUGGAAACUGCCUGAUGGAGGGGGAUAACUACUGGAAACGGUAGCUAAUACCGCAUAACGUCGCAAGACCAAAGAGGGGGACCUUCGGGCCUCUUGCCAUCGGAUGCGCCCAGAUGGGAUUAGCUAGUAGGUGGGGUAACGGCUCACCUAGGCGACGAUCCCUAGCUGGUCUGAGAGGAUGACCAGCCACACUGGAACUGAGACACGGUCCAGACUCCUACGGGAGGCAGCAGUGGGGAAUAUUGCACAAUGGGCGCAAGCCUGAUGCAGCCAUGCCGCGUGUAUGAAGAAGGCCUUCGGGUUGUAAAGUACUUUCAGCGGGGAGGAAGGGAGUAAAGUUAAUACCUUUGCUCAUUGACGUUACCCGCAGAAGAAGCACCGGCUAACUCCGUG